ACAAUGGAGAGUUUGAUCCUGGCUCAGGAUUAACGCUAGCGGCAGGCCUAAUACAUGCAAGUCGAACGGGAUUUCGGGUAGCAAUAUCUGAAUGAGAGUGGCGCACGGGUGCGUAACGCGUAUGCAAUCUACCGCUGACUGGGGAAUAGCCCUCCGAAAGGAGGAUUAACACCGCAUAACACUGUGAAGGGGCAUCUCUUUACAGUUAAAACUCUGGUGGUCAGCGAUGAGCAUGCGUCCGAUUAGCUAGUUGGUGAGGUAACGGCUCACCAAGGCAACGAUCGGUAGGGGGUCUGAGAGGAUGAUCCCCCACACUGGUACUGAGACACGGACCAGACUCCUACGGGAGGCAGCAGUAAGGAAUAUUGGACAAUGGGCGCAAGCCUGAUCCAGCCAUGCCGCGUGAAGGAUGAAGGCCC
RNAcentral lists this ribosomal RNA (419 nucleotides) under Bacteroidia bacterium. RNAcentral describes it as "bacterial SSU rRNA". It matches the Rfam family "Bacterial small subunit ribosomal RNA", at positions 1 to 417 of the family's 1533-position model. Lineage: Bacteria; Pseudomonadati; Bacteroidota; Bacteroidia. The record is from RNAcentral.